Molecule: transfer RNA, 72 nt
Filed under: Candidatus Omnitrophota bacterium
Lineage: Bacteria; Pseudomonadati; Candidatus Omnitrophota
Description: Candidatus Omnitrophica bacterium (aquatic metagenome) tRNA-Cys
Rfam family: tRNA
About the family: Transfer RNA (tRNA) molecules are approximately 80 nucleotides in length.
Source: RNAcentral
GGCGCGGUACCCAAGUAGAAAGGGAGCGGUCUGCAAAACCGCGAUGCGUGGGUGCGAUUCCCACCCGCGCCU